UAGGGAAUCUUCCACAAUGGACGAAAGUCUGAUGGAGCAACGCCGCGUGAGUGAUGAAGGUUUUCGGAUCGUAAAACUCUGUUGUAAGGGAAGAACACGUACGAGAGGAAAUGCUCGUACCUUGACGGUACCUUACGAGAAAGCCACGGCUAACUACGUG
This 160-nucleotide ribosomal RNA is filed under the name uncultured bacterium. RNAcentral describes it as "partial 16S ribosomal RNA". It matches the Rfam family "Bacterial small subunit ribosomal RNA", at positions 355 to 507 of the family's 1533-position model. The record is from RNAcentral.